Molecule: long non-coding RNA, 1080 nt
Organism: Stegostoma tigrinum
Lineage: Eukaryota; Metazoa; Chordata; Chondrichthyes; Orectolobiformes; Stegostomatidae
Exons: 4
Source: RefSeq, a predicted model, not a curated record
GCUGUCCUGUCUCAGGGUGUUAACACUAUUAUUCCCACCACAGCUCCUCUGCCAAAGCUUUUGCUAUUGCCUUGCAUUAAGAUCAGCUCAGGUUAUAGCUACCCAUGCCAAUUUGGAGCAAUUCAGAGAGGGUUACAUAAGGUUCAGAAUUACUACGGAUAGUCAUGUAAGGCCAUUUGCAGAUUUCUUCAAUAAAUUCAACAGGCUUCCAUCACCAAGCUGCAGUUGCAGGGGGUCUGUUAUAAUAUGUGUUCUGGCAACACAAAUUGGUUAUAGUGUGACUUAUGAAUCGGGGAACUCUAUUUCUAAACUGCAAACUUAUGUUGGCUAUAACACGAUUCCAUUGAUUCCUGAAGGUGCUGGUGAUGAAGUUGACAACCUACAGCCACCGCAUUAACAACAGAGUAGCCUCAAGACCUCCUCCCUCAUCAAGUCAUCUUCACAUUUUUUUUGAGAUAAGCGAACUUGGUGUGAAUGAAGAAGGUUCAUUACGGGACUAUUCACCCCAAGGAUUACCCUGACCCAUGCCAAUACUGUACAGAGACAGUAGACAAAACCUGGAAAAAAGAGCUGAAAUUGAGAGCUUGGAAAGUGGUAGAUGAAGGAGGAGCCCUAUAGUGGCAGUGGCAGAAACACCAGGACAAGUCGGACGUGCCUCCACCCCAGGCCGGGCUCUCCUGUCUAGCAAGGAACAGGCCCUAGGCUGACUCCACUGGCCUGGGCUUGUAGGCUGGACCGCAGCUAGGUCCUGACACUUGAAGGAUCAGAAGCAUCAGUGAAAAGGAGAGACAGUGAAUUGGCAGCAGCGUCUGGAGGAUCGUCAGAUGGGGAACAAGAGGCUUCUCCUGGCUCAGCAACGAGGCAAGUUCCAGCAGCCUGGCAUGAUGGUCUUCUUUGGCAGAGGCUUCCAGCCCAGUAUUCCAGUGGCCCAGCAUGGCAAUCAUGUCCUGGCAUGUCUCGGAAUGGUGGUCCCCUCCCAGCAGCAUCUUCAGGGUACUCCAGCAUUCCUUAUUCUGCUUUCCCAUAGCCCAGGAGCCAUUAACUGAGCUGUGAUGAAUUUUGUUUUAAUAUUACAUUUAU